Molecule: long non-coding RNA, 142 nt
Organism: Diprion similis
Lineage: Eukaryota; Metazoa; Arthropoda; Insecta; Hymenoptera; Diprionidae
Exons: 3
Source: RefSeq, a predicted model, not a curated record
AGAAAUUGUCCAGAGCAAUCACCGUCCAUAGCCACUUCCGUCCACACCGCUCGGAAGCCCUGUUGACCCACCGCUUUGUCCGCAGAUAUAAAACUGAAUCGUAUGGGGGUGUAACUAUCAAUUCAAUCAGGAAUGAAUUUUA